RNAcentral lists this ribosomal RNA (290 nucleotides) under uncultured bacterium. Its description in RNAcentral is "partial 16S ribosomal RNA". It matches the Rfam family "Bacterial small subunit ribosomal RNA", at positions 99 to 389 of the family's 1533-position model. The record is from RNAcentral.
CGGACGGGUGAGUAACGCGUGGGUAACCUACCCUAAAGCUCGGGAUAACAGUGGGAAACCGCUGCUAAUACCGGAUGACUUUAACCUAUGGCAUCAUGGGUUAAAGAAAGAUUUAUCGCUUUAGGAUGGGCCCGCGUCCCAUUAGCUAGUUGGUGAGGUAACGGCUCACCAAGGCGACGAUGGGUAGCCGGCCUGAGAGGGUGUACGGCCACACUGGGACUGAGACACGGCCCAGACUCCUACGGGAGGCAGCAGUAGGGAAUAUUGCGCAAUGGACGGAAGUCUGACGC